UAGGGAAUAUUGGUCAAUGGGUGAGAGCCUGAACCAGCCAUGCCGCGUGCAGGAAGAAGGCCUUCUGGGUUGUAAACUGCUUUUGCCAGGGGAUAAAAAUACCUUGCGAGGUAAAUUGAAGGUACCUGGUGAAUAAGCCACGGCUAACUACGUGCCAGCAGCCGCGGUAAUACGUAGGUGGCAAGCGUUGUCCGGAUUUAUUGGGUUUAAAGGGUGCGUAGGCGGCCCUGUAAGUCAGUGCUGAAAUAUCCCAGCUUAACUGGGAGGGUGGCAUUGAUACUGCGGGGCUAGAGUACAGAUGAGGUAGGCGGAAUUGACGGUGUAGCGGUGAAAUGCUUAGAUAUCGUCAAGAACACCUAUAGCGGAGGCAGCUUACUAGGCUGUAACUGACGCUGAGGCACGAAAGUGUGGGGAUCAAACAG
Molecule: ribosomal RNA, 422 nt
Filed under: uncultured bacterium
Lineage: Bacteria
Description: bacterial SSU rRNA
Rfam family: Bacterial small subunit ribosomal RNA
Source: RNAcentral